AAAGGAAAUGCAACAUCUUAAAAGCAUGGUAGGAAGUUUACCUUUGAUUUGAGCUGCUGGCCAUGCUUAACAGUUCGGUCUUCAACCGAGCUGAGUGAAUGAGAUUCAUUGACAUGGGGGGCCUUCUGAAACAUUGGAAAUGGGCAGAGGCUGAAAACUUUGGGUGUCAGACUGUGUUUGAAAUGGUGAUUUCCAUUUUUGAUUUGGUUCUCACAAUAUAGAUAAUGCAUUCAUAGAAAGUAAGUUACUUUAACUUGUUGGUAUCUUCCAAAGGUAAUUAGAAAUAGGAUGUUUGAUUUAGUAGGACUUUCUAAUUGUAUCUUGUUCUUUUUCCUCUUUCAAAAGACUUCCCAUAAAGGUCAAUGUCACACUUUUAUGCUUAUAACAUCAUGCGUUUUUAUAAUUCCGUCUUUUUGUUUACUCUAAAAUGUUACUCUUUUUACUUCCCAAAAUUAUUUUGAAGUGAUAACUAACUUGUUCGUCUGAGUCUUUGUAGGAAGGUAUGUACGCUCUUGUCAUGAAUAGAUCAAAAUGAGUCUUGUGGUCAUUACAGAUAAUGUUCUUCUAUGGCCUCUUUUCAUUUGAGCUCGUCGCAAUGGUAAAUAUUGGCCGAUAUUGUGGGGUUUUCCGCCAUAAUCUACUAUAACGUCUCCGCAAAGCGUCUUGUAUGGCGGGAUUUUGGCUCUCUAUUAUGGAGUGCCAUUCGCCAUGGAUAACAAUGGCUUCAAGGCAUUAGUUCCACAGUUGCGCGCGAGGGAUAGUUUGGUUUUCCAAAGAAAAAUAUAGUUUAUAAUAGAGUUAACCCUUGUCCUCUCUUCAAUUGCAGAAACAAUUUGUAAUAAACACCUUUUCCUAAAGAACUUGUUGCACAUGUUCAGUGAUUUUUACUAUUAAAUUCGAAGGAACUAAUUUCCGCCACCAAUAUAUACACGAAUGUUUGAAACAGGUGGAAGGGAAGACAGUGAAGGCACAAAUAUGGGACACUGCAGGUCAAGAGAGCAAUCACAAGUGCACAAACUCUCGGUACUUAAAUGGGUUAUUGAUAAUUUCAUACUGCAUAAACUCUCGUUACUUAAAUGAGUUAUUGAUAGUUUCAUACUGGACCAUAUGAAUUUGUUAAGGAACUUUAAGUUACUGAAUAUGAUUCCAUUUUGUAUGAAUUCCAAAAUCAUAUAUUCUGAUUUGUACAAAUUUGCUUUAGUGGUUUUUCUUCAAUGAAAUUACAGCAUUGCUACAGUUCAUUUAAAAUUAGCCAUCUUCUUCUUGUGUCUUCUAUAAGAAAAAUUUCACGGUUGACUCAAUAUAUCCUUGUUAUGGUUUUAUGGACAAUCUUUCUCAAUUAUUAUUAUUUGAUUGUGCAAUUGUGAAGUUGUUAUGAUCUGCUUGUGAUCAGUAUGUUCUUUUAUUUACCAAAUUUAUUUUGAAUUCAUAACUAACUUGAUCGUCGGAGUUUUUGCAGGUACCACACCUUUGGUGUGUCAUGCCAUGCUCAUGAGUAUGAUGAAACAGAAAGGAAAUGCAACAUCUUAAAAGCAUGGUAGGAAGUUUACCUUUGAUUUGAGCUGAUGGCCAUGCUUAACAGUCCGGUCUUCAACCGAGCUGAGUGAAUGAGAUUCAUUGACAUGGGGGGCCUUCUAAAACAUUGGAAAUGGGUAGAGGCUGAAAACUUUAGGUGCCAGGCUGUGUUUGAAGUGGGGAGUCAUGCCUCAAAUAUAAAUUCUGGUGUCCCUAGUGAAAGUUGAAGCAAAACAUUGGAAAUUUGAGUUGUUCUUCAUAAUGCCUAUUAAGCUCACGAGAUCUUGCGAAAGAAAUGGGAUAAGGUGUGUAGAGAAAAUAAAAGGCGGGGAGGGGACUAGGUAUAUAAAAUUUGAGAGCUUUUAACUUAGCUUUGGUUUGGUACUGGCUCUUGAGGUUGCAUGUAGAAAAACAAACUCAGUUUUUGAAAACCAGAAUUUCAUGUAUAUGGACCCAACAUAUUAUUCAAACAAGUUUAUUUGACAGUAAUAUAUAAGACAAUUAUUGCCCUUUUGUAAUUUGUACAAGUAAAGUGUAAACUUUGAAUUUUGUUUGAAAUCGUGAUUUCCGUUUUUGAUUUGGUUCUCACAAUAUAGANN
Molecule: long non-coding RNA, 2114 nt
Filed under: Lathyrus oleraceus (garden pea)
Lineage: Eukaryota; Viridiplantae; Streptophyta; Magnoliopsida; Fabales; Fabaceae
Description: Pisum sativum (pea) long non-coding RNA (PSAT_LNC010850)
Source: RNAcentral